Molecule: ribosomal RNA, 400 nt
Filed under: uncultured bacterium
Lineage: Bacteria
Description: bacterial SSU rRNA
Rfam family: Bacterial small subunit ribosomal RNA
Source: RNAcentral
UGGGGAAUAUUGGACAAUGGGGGGAACCCUGAUCCAGCAAUGCCGCGUGUGUGAAGAAGGCCUUCGGGUUGUAAAGCACUUUAGGCUGGGAAGAAGGUCUAUUGUUUAAGAGAUGAUAGGUUUGACGGUACCGGCAGAAUAAGCACCGGCUAACUCUGUGCCAGCAGCCGCGGUAAUACAGAGGGUGCGAGCGUUAAUCGGAAUAACUGGGCGUAAAGGGCGCGUAGGUGGUAAUUUAAGAUGCAUGUGAAAUCCCUGGGCUUAACCUAGGAAUGGCAUGGAUGACUGAAUUGCUAGAGUAUUGUAGAGGGUAGUGGAAUUUCCGGUGUAGCGGUGAAAUGCGUAGAGAUCGGAAGGAACAUCAGUGGCGAAGGCGGCUACCUGGACAAAUACUGACACU